Molecule: ribosomal RNA, 501 nt
Filed under: uncultured bacterium
Lineage: Bacteria
Description: partial 16S ribosomal RNA
Rfam family: Bacterial small subunit ribosomal RNA
Source: RNAcentral
GCGAACGCUGGCGGCGUGCCUCACCCAUGCCAGUCGCACGUGAAAGGGAGCAAUCCCAAGUAAAGUGGCGUACGGGUGAGUAACACGUAGGUAAUCUACCCCAGAAUCUGGAAUAACCGGCCGAAAGGCUGGCUAAUACUGGAUAGAGCGACGGAAUCCGUAAUUGGGUUUUUCGGGAAAGGGAGCCUGUAAAAAGGCCUUCGUUCUGGGAUGAGCCUGCGUCCCAUCAGCUAGUUGGUGAGGUAAAAGCUUACCAAGGCAAUGACGGGUAGCUGGUCUGAGAGGACGAUCAGCCACACUGGAACUGAAACACGGUCCAGACUCCUACGGGAGGCAGCAGUGGGGAAUCUUGCGCAAUGGACGAAAGUCUGACGCAGCAACGCCGCGUGAGUGAAGAAGGCCUUCGGGUUGUAAAGCUCUGUCGAGUGGGACGAAAAUGCUUGGAGUUCACAGCUCCAGGAACUGACGGUACCACUAAAGGAAGCACCGGCUAACUCCGUG